Molecule: long non-coding RNA, 1059 nt
Filed under: Phascolarctos cinereus (koala)
Lineage: Eukaryota; Metazoa; Chordata; Mammalia; Diprotodontia; Phascolarctidae
Description: lncRNA (ENSPCIG00000018286.2)
Source: RNAcentral
AUGACCAGCCGGCCUCUUCUCUGCGCCCUGCUGCUGCUCUCCUGGAGGCUGCUUGUAGCUGAAGAGACCACUACGAAAGCUCUCACGAACACCUCUCCUACCAGUUUCCCCACCACCUCCCAUAGUAGCUCCCCCUCCCCUCCCACCUCUGACAGUGGCUCCCCAUCCCCCUUCCCUUCCACCUCCCACAGUAGCUCCCCCUCCCCUCCCACCUCUGACAGUGGCUCCCCAUCCCCCUUCCCCACCACCUCCCAUAGUAGCUCCCCCUCCCCUCCCACCUCUGACAGUGGCUCCCCAUCCCCCUUCCCUUCCACCUCCCACAGUAGCUCCCCCUCCCCUCCCACCUCUGACAGUGGCUCCCCAUCCCCCUUCCCUUCCACCUCCCACAGUAGCUCCCCCUCCUCUCCCACCUCUGACAGUGGCUCCCCAUCCCCCUUCCCUUACACCUCCCACAGUAGCUCACCCUCCUCUCCCACCUCUGACAGUGGCUCCCCAUCCCCCUUCCCUUCCACCUCCCACAGUAGCUCACCCUCCUCUCCUAACUCCCACAGUGGCUCCCAGUCCACCACCUCCUCCCACAGUGGCUCUACCUCCCACACCAGCUGGCCCUUCUCCCCAACUACCUUUGGGGGCUCCUCCCCAAACUCCAACACCUUCUCUGGAGAUCCAUCAGCUGCUACGAGUAUGACAACCCCAGAGGAGGGGUCCACCACGCUGGGGAUCAGUGCCAGUUCAGCCCCAGGGGGGACCCAGCGCAAUCCUGCUGUGGUGAUUGUGGUCUGCUUGCUCGUAUCCGUUCUGGUCCUGGGCUCUGCUAUGGUGGCUGUGAAAUGCUGCCAGAAGAAUGUGAGAGGCUUUGAGAAGAUGGAUGAGAUGCCCAUGGCAACUGUUCGAGAGGAAUCACCCUUUGCAAAAUUACCCCCCCAGUGACCACAGAUGGCAAUGGGGGGCAGCUUCUGAGGGGCUGUUGGGACAGCUCCUGUUCACCCAUGCCCUCUACCCCCUCCCAUAAGGAUACUGGAGUCUGUCACUGAAUAAAACGAAGACUGAAAUGAGACA